This 2063-nucleotide long non-coding RNA is filed under the name Homo sapiens (human). Its description in RNAcentral is "non-protein coding lnc-GCNT4-2:1". Lineage: Eukaryota; Metazoa; Chordata; Mammalia; Primates; Hominidae. The record is from RNAcentral.
GUGGUUGGCAGGGCCCAGAAGCAGGAUAUUGUGGGGUUAGUGUUUAAUUUGUAUAGAGUUUCAGUUGGAAAAUGACCGUGUUCUGUGGAUGGAUUGUGGUGAUGGUUGCACUACAAUAUGAAUGUAAUUAAUGCCACUGAACUGUACACUUAAAAUUGAUUAAAGUGGUAAAUGUUAUGUAUAUUUCACCACCAUAAUAGAAAAAAAGAAUAUGUUCAUCAACUAAUUCAUAAAUAAGAAACAAGAAAAGUUAUUUUUAUAACAAAGAAGUGAACCAGGUAAUACUUGGAAAGUAUAGGUUAUAGCAAGAAGACAGCAAUGACACUAGACCUAAAAAAUAUUCAAAACUGUGCUACUAAAACUGUGUUGCCUGAAUCCUAAUAUGGGGCAGAGACUUAGAGCUCUUUCAUUCUGCCCUCUCCCCAGAAACCAUACACAGAGGAAGUUUGCCAUCAGCUGAAGAGUGCUUAACUGAGGCGUGGCGAGCAGACUGCACAGUUCUUGCCAACAUCAGAGUUAAUUUGGUAAAUCUUGGCAUCUGCUUUCCUUCAGAUAUUUACCUAAAGCCUCCAUCUGCCUCUAAAUAUAGAUGGAUGAGAAGUUCAGCAUCAUUUAAGACACAUUAUUUUGCACUUGGCUAUAUAUAGGAAUGUACUGUUGUAUAAGUAGCCACUUUAAUCUGGUUUAAAUUUAAUUUGGCUCCUGGACAUGCGUAUGUAUAUGUUGGUUAAGCAUUUCCUUUUCCUACGGUCAUCUUUCAAAGUGCACGUUGCUUAAACAUAUAAGGGCUUACUUUUCUCAUGUAACAGGAAUUCAAAGUGGGUGUUUGCUAGUGGUGGUUCAGUGGCUUGAGGAUACGGGGGCUGAGGUCUCUGAUAUUCUCUUGGUCUGUUCCUCAUGGUCUCAAGGUGGGUGCAACAAUUCUAGCCAUCAUAUUGGAGUUCCAGGCAGAAAAGUGGAAUAAUUUUAUUGUGUCUAAUAUGCACACAAGAUCUGAGAGCAAUAUGUACAUUUUAAGCCAAGAAACACACAGAUCUUAGCUAAAUGGUGAAGUCAUGCCAAGAGCUGCCAAUCCUGUUUUUCAGUGGAAGUGCAGAAGCAUGUUGAAGUCUCCAGCUGAGCUCCCCACCACAUUGGAAGAACCCAGAAAACAAACAAGCAAGCUCUUCUCAUGACUUAAAACUCAGGGUUUUCAGGGUGAUGAUUUUAAACUCAGGGUGUCUAAUCCAUUCAUGAAGAGUGUGGUCUGGCCUCAAGCCAUUUCUGACAUCAAUACCCUUGAUUCAUGUCUGUUUAUCCCUGUGCUGCCUCUGCGAUGGACAUGGAGAUUCUACUUUAAAUGCACAUUUAGAAAUCAGUUACCCAUACCUCUUCAGCUAGCCAUGGAAUCUUUGAGGAAUUAAUUUUGGCCAGUUGAAAAAUAUGGAGUUAGCCAUAUAAUACCAAAAUAAAUGCUUCCAAAAAUUUCUGAGGGGGAAAAAAAAGCAUACCAUGUAGAUAUUAGGUGGAGAAAGUUAUUUUCUUUCUAGUGCAAUAGAUACACAUUUUCAAAAAUAGACAUGUUUUUCAAUUCAGUUUUUCUACUUUAUAGAAAAAGAAGCCAAAAUAUUCUCAACCCAUAUUUUUAACUUAGAACAUGAAACAUAAAAUGUAGUUUGGCUUUAUGUUGUGUCAAGCUAAGUGAGAAGGUGUUACAUUGCUACAGCCCAGAUUUCCAAUGACCUUGAGAGGUCUAUGCGUGGGUAUGUACAUCCUGAUGUGGGUUACUCAUUUCCCAUGUAAUCUUACAGGUCCUUUAUUUCUGCCCAAAUGUGAGAGGCUCCAGUAAAGUUUCUAGCUAGAAGAAUUAUAAUCUAUAGAGGUGGUUGAUAGAAUUAUUUUCAUGCUCAGUGUUUUCCUUUAGGUCUCUAUUCUCCAAAUCUUGCAGGUAAAGUAGUCCUUUAUUCAGGGAAGAUGAUGACGUUCAUAAUUGCAGGCCUAGAGAGAAAGCUGUCAAUUGUCAUACAUUCCACAGGAACAUCAAACAGAGCUCCUUUAGUUGAGGGCAUCUCAAUUCACUGAGC